UACGUAGGUCCCGAGCGUUGUCCGGAUUUAUUGGGCGUAAAGCGAGCGCAGGUGGUUUAUUAAGUCUGGUGUAAAAGGCAGUGGCUCAACCAUUGUAUGCAUUGGAAACUGGUAGACUUGAGUGCAGGAGAGGAGAGUGGAAUUCCAUGUGUAGCGGUGAAAUGCGUAGAUAUAUGGAGGAACACCGGUGGCGAAAGCGGCUCUUUGGCCUGUAACUGACACUGAGGCUCGAAAGCGUGGGGAGCAAACAGG
Molecule: ribosomal RNA, 252 nt
Filed under: uncultured bacterium
Lineage: Bacteria
Description: partial 16S ribosomal RNA
Rfam family: Bacterial small subunit ribosomal RNA
Source: RNAcentral